Molecule: ribosomal RNA, 460 nt
Filed under: uncultured bacterium
Lineage: Bacteria
Description: partial 16S ribosomal RNA
Rfam family: Bacterial small subunit ribosomal RNA
Source: RNAcentral
CCUACGGGGGGCAGCAGUGAGGAAUAUUGGUCAAUGGACGAGAGUCUGAACCAGCCAAGUAGCGUGAAGGAUGACUGCCCUAUGGGCGGUAAACUUCUUUUAUAUGGGAAUAAAACGUUCCACGUGUGGGAUUUUGUAUGUACCAUAUGAAUAAGGAUCGGCUAACUCCGUGCCAGCAGCCGCGGUAAUACGGAGGAUCCGAGCGUUAUCCGGAUUUAUUGGGUUUAAAGGGAGCGUAGGUGGAUUGUUAAGUCAGUUGUGAAAGUUUGCGGCUCAACCGUAAAAUUGCAUUUGAAACUGGCAGUCUUGAGUACAGUAGAGGAGAGCGGAAUUCGUGGUGUAGCGGUGAAAUGCUUAGAUAUCACGAAGAACUCCGAUUGCGAAGGCAGUUCACUGGACUGCAACUGACACUGAGGCUCGAAAGUGUGGGUAGCAAACAGGAUUAGAUACCCCAGUAGUC